Molecule: ribosomal RNA, 516 nt
Filed under: Triticum aestivum (bread wheat)
Lineage: Eukaryota; Viridiplantae; Streptophyta; Magnoliopsida; Poales; Poaceae
Description: partial small subunit ribosomal RNA
Source: RNAcentral
AUGGAGGCCUUAUCUGCCCUGGUGCACAAGGCCACGGAGAUUGGAGUUCUUACUGCCUUUGCUGGGAUCACGCCAACACAGAGGCUGUCUAUAUAUGCUGAUGAUGUUGCCAUGUUCACCAGGCCCACGGAGCACGAUUUGGCUGCUGUUACAGAGAUCCUCAAGGCAUUUAGCGAGGCAUCAGGACUUAAAGUGAACUUCCGCAAAUCUACACCAGUUCUCAUAAGAGGGAGUGAGGAAGACAGGGCCAGAGUAGCCAGAAUGCUACAAUGUGACAUCUCAGAGUUCCCCUGCAGAUAUCUGGGAUUGCAACUGGCGCUCAAAAGCCUGACUCGAGCGGAAUGGCAACCCAUGCUGGAUAAAGUGAGGCACUUCAUGCCAGCAUGGCAAAGAGGGCUCAUUCAAAGGCUGGGCCGGCUAAUUUUGGUACAGUCGGUAGUGGCGGCACGCCCAGUUCAUCAUCUUAUGGUGACGGAAGCGCCGGAGUGGGUGCUAGAGGAUAUGAAUAAUGGAUGA